UGGAAGUUGGAGCCUACUAACUGGGCAGCC
RNAcentral lists this non-coding RNA (30 nucleotides) under Mus musculus (house mouse). Lineage: Eukaryota; Metazoa; Chordata; Mammalia; Rodentia; Muridae. The record is from RNAcentral.